UGCGCAGGUGGCUGGGCAAGUCAAAGAUGAAAUCCCGGGGCUCACCUCCGGAACUGUCUUUGAAACUGCUCAGCUUGAGGAUAGUUGAGGAGAACGGAAUUCCCGGUGGAGCGGUGAAAUGCGUAGAUAUCGGGAGGAACACCAGAGGCGAAGGCGGUUCUCUGGACUAAUCCUGACACUGAGGUACGAAAGCUAGGGGAGCAAACG
RNAcentral lists this ribosomal RNA (207 nucleotides) under uncultured bacterium. RNAcentral's name for it is "partial 16S ribosomal RNA". It matches the Rfam family "Bacterial small subunit ribosomal RNA", at positions 568 to 774 of the family's 1533-position model. The record is from RNAcentral.